RNAcentral lists this long non-coding RNA (746 nucleotides) under Varanus komodoensis (Komodo dragon). Its description in RNAcentral is "lncRNA (ENSVKKG00000016901.1)". The record is from RNAcentral. Lineage: Eukaryota; Metazoa; Chordata; Lepidosauria; Squamata; Varanidae.
CCUUCCUCAGUAAACCGGACUCUGCCACUUGUGUUGAACCUUAUCUUCCUGGUACAAUUGCGAUAUGGAACAGAGAGAGAGCUGGACAGCACAGAUUUCCGAUUGCUCCAUCUGGUCAGCAAUUUAUCUGGGAAGUGCUGUCUAACAGACCUUGAAAUUCUUCAGCCAUCCCUAAACUUCCUGUACUUGAGCCUUUGGCAGACAACAUCUUCCAGUCAGCAAAGAGUGGUGGUGAUGUUACUUUCUAAUUCACCUCUGCUAGAGCUACUUGAGAAGAUUCUCCAUUGCACUUGGAUGCCAACCUCUUCCCCUGAUCCUGCUUUCCCUUCAUCUACUGAAGCCCUUUUGUGCUCUGCUUGGCUGCUGACUGCUUCCCUCUUGACUCAACAACAUAAUUACAAUAUAGAGGUUCAUCAUAUAAUCUGUCUGGAUGUGGACAAGGUCGUCAGUGCAGUUGCCUUGAGGAGGAGGAAGUCCAUGUUAUUCUCUGGCAAGUGAUGUCUUUGCCAACAUCCUUUAAAGCUAGAAGAGCACUGGAAUGGGAAAUAAAGGCCACAAGUCAUGUCAGAAAAAUUUAAUUCAAUUGUGCUAGGCAAAUACUGGCUCAGAAGUUGUAGCCAGUUGUUGAAGUAUUGUGUUUGUACAUCUUCAGGUUAAAGACAUGACUAUUCAUUGGCGGGAGUGCACAGUUCCUAUAAGAAAGUGGGUUGAAGUUGUAUUAAAUGUGUAUCAAGCAAAAAGUGGGG